Molecule: ribosomal RNA, 496 nt
Filed under: uncultured bacterium
Lineage: Bacteria
Description: partial 16S ribosomal RNA
Rfam family: Bacterial small subunit ribosomal RNA
Source: RNAcentral
ACGAACGCUGGCGGCGUGCCUAAUACAUGCAAGUUGAGCGCUGAAGGUUGGUACUUGUACCGACUGGAUGAGCAGCGAACGGGUGAGUAACGCGUGGGGAAUCUGCCUUUGAGCGGGGGACAACAUUUGGAAACGAAUGCUAAUACCGCAUAAAAACUUUAAACACAAGUUUUAAGUUUGAAAGAUGCAAUUGCAUCACUCAAAGAUGAUCCCGCGUUGUAUUAGCUAGUUGGUGAGGUAAAGGCUCACCAAGGCGAUGAUACAUAGCCGACCUGAGAGGGUGAUCGGCCACAUUGGGACUGAGACACGGCCCAAACCCCUACGGGAGGCAGCAGUAGGGAAUCUUCGGCAAUGGACGAAAGUCUGACCGAGCAACGCCGCGUGAGUGAAGAAGGUUUUCGGAUCGUAAAACUCUGUUGGUAGAGAAGAACGUUGGUGAGAGUGGAAAGCUCAUCAAGUGACGGUAACUACCCAGAAAGGGACGGCUAACUACGUG